UAGUCCACGCCGUAAACGAUGGGCACUAGAUGUUGGUUCUAUCUUAACGGGUAGGAUCGGUGUCGCAGCUAACGUAUUAAGUGCCCCGCCUGGGGAGUACGAUCGCAAGGUUGAAACUCAAAGGAAUUGACGGGGGCCCGCACAAGCGGUGGAGCAUGUGGUUUAAUUCGAUGCAACGCGCAGAACCUUACCGGGGCUUGAACUGCUAGGUAAAGCCUGUGAAAGCAGGUCUGCUCUUCGGAGCGACCUAGUAGAGGUGCUGCAUGGCUGUCGUCAGCUCGUGUCGUGAGAUGUUGGGUUAAGUCCCGCAACGAGCGCAACCCCGUGCCCUUAGUUGCCAUCACAUAAUGGUGGGCACUCUAAGGGGGACUGGCCGGUGAUAAACUGGAGGAAGGUGGGGAUGACGUCAAGUCCUCAUGGCCCUUACGUCCCGGGCUACACACGUGCUACAAUGGCCGGCACAACGGGCAGCAAGAUCGCGAGAUGGAGCUAAUCCCUAAAAACCGGCCU
Molecule: ribosomal RNA, 510 nt
Filed under: uncultured bacterium
Lineage: Bacteria
Description: bacterial SSU rRNA
Rfam family: Bacterial small subunit ribosomal RNA
Source: RNAcentral